CAGGUCCAGUGCUCAACUGCUUUAAAAGUCUGCUUGUAGCUCACUUGCCAUUUCUUUUACUUCAUGGGCUUUGGCAAGUCAUAUUGAAAUGCUCAGGAUAAGGACAGGAAGUGGCCACAUGAACAUAAGGACACAGGGACACUGGGUGAUGUCAAAGUCAAUAAUCAGUUCCCAAUAUCAUUGGAAAGUACAACCAGGGGUGUCUAGUGCUGUGGAGUCAACACAACUGGGCUGAACUCAUGGAAACUUUUGGUUCCAAAUAGAGGAAGUCAUAGCAACAACAGCGAUUCAUCUUCCGGCUUUCAUCAGCUCCUCAUGGCCUCGCUGUCAUCGUCAUCUGAGCUAAAAACAAUCCAACCAAGGGAAAGGCAUCUCCUCUCCUGCCAUUCCACUCUCCUCUCCACCACCGAUGGCACAUUCUCUGUAGUUUUUGUUCCUGCCUCCAUUUUGGUGAGUUGUCAUGAAGAAAUAAAGGUAUGUGGUGGUGGGUGGCUUUCCCCCAAGUGUUCAUCUCUUGCAUUUCCAAAUAGGCCCAUUGGGCUACUUUGUGUGCUUCAAGCUAAAAUGGGCUUGUUUCUAAAAAUAGACCUCUGUUCCUGCUGUGCCAUCUGCACCAUCCCUUUGUAUAAACCAAAA
RNAcentral lists this long non-coding RNA (636 nucleotides) under Mus spicilegus (steppe mouse). RNAcentral's name for it is "lncRNA (ENSMSIG00000017292.1)". The record is from RNAcentral. Lineage: Eukaryota; Metazoa; Chordata; Mammalia; Rodentia; Muridae.